UUUUAUUGAAAAUCUCGUGUUUUAUGCUGAUAUGGUUAAUUGUUGUGGGUGCAAUAGAAUUUUUCAAUGGAUGGAAAGAACAGGAGGGAUUGCCAUAGCUGCAGAGAACGUGGAAAGAACAAGGAUUUCAUUGACGAUUUGUCCCGUUUGUCCAAAAAUCUUGCUCAAAUAUCUAAAGAAGAGGACGUGGAGAUAUUACUCAAUACAACUAUCCGCAAGAUAACAAGAGUUACAGAAGAGCAGGAGAAACAAGAGGGAAGAGAUCCGUGAAUUAGUUCCUUACAUUUAAUUGAUUAAAGAUUGAUCUUUUGAUUUGUAAGUCAUGUUUAUGUAAUAUGCACUAUAAGUUUAAGUUGAAUGGUGUUACAUGGUUUCUCUUUGAAUUUUGCAUUUUGAUUUAUGUGCGUGUAUGUUCUUGGAGUUAAUGUGACGUAAUAAAACCACGAACUGAGCUUAUUGUAUUGUACAGUUCGUUUAUUGAGAUGGAUAGUUCAUUUGUGCAAA
Molecule: long non-coding RNA, 504 nt
Filed under: Olea europaea subsp. europaea
Lineage: Eukaryota; Viridiplantae; Streptophyta; Magnoliopsida; Lamiales; Oleaceae
Source: RNAcentral